Molecule: ribosomal RNA, 811 nt
Filed under: uncultured bacterium
Lineage: Bacteria
Description: bacterial SSU rRNA
Rfam family: Bacterial small subunit ribosomal RNA
Source: RNAcentral
AGAGUUUGAUCAUGGCUCAGAACGAACGCUGGCGGCGUGGAUAAGACAUGCAAGUCGAACGGGACUUUCUUUGGUAGCAAUACCGGAGAAAGUUUAGUGGCGAACGGGUGCGUAACACGUGGGCAAUCUGCCGAGAAGUGGGGGAAUAGCUCGCCGAAAGGCGAAUUAAUACCGCAUGUGAUCAGGGAAGACAUCUUUCCGACAUCAAAGCCGGGGCAACCUGGCGCUUCUUGAUGAACCCGCGGCCUAUCAGCUAGUUGGUGAGGUAACGGCUCACCAAGGCUAUGACGGGUAGCUGGUCUGAGAGGACGACCAGCCACACUGGAACUGAGACACGGUCCAGACACCUACGGGUGGCAGCAGUCGAGAAUUUUUCUCAAUGGGGGAAACCCUGAAGGAGCGACGCCGCGUGGAGGAUGAAGGCUUUCGGGUUGUAAACUCCUGUCAUUUGAGAACAAGGUGCACAUGUUAACUGUAUGUGCAUUGAUAGUAUCAGAAGAGGAAGAGACGGCUAACUCUGUGCCAGCAGCCGCGGUAAUACAGAGGUCUCAAGCGUUGUUCGGAUUCAUUGGGCGUAAAGGGUGCGUAGGUGGCGCGCUAAGUCAGGUGUGAAAUUUCGGAGCUUAACUCCGAAACUGCAUUUGAUACUGGCGUGCUUGAGGACUGGAGAGGAGACUGGAAUUCAUGGUGUAGCAGUGAAAUGCGUAGAGAUCAUGAGGAAGACCAGUGGCGAAGGCGGGUCUCUGGACAGUUCCUGACACUGAGGCACGAAGGCCAGGGGAGCAAACGGGAUUAGAUACCCCAGUAGUCC